CAAAUUAGAGCUUGAUAAAGUGUUUCAUUUACAUUGAAAAGAUAUUAUAAUUAAAUAAUUGAUUUGU
This 67-nucleotide transfer RNA is filed under the name Ambulyx dohertyi. RNAcentral's name for it is "tRNA-Val". Lineage: Eukaryota; Metazoa; Arthropoda; Insecta; Lepidoptera; Sphingidae. The record is from RNAcentral.